GCCUGGUGUUGUGUUGCUGUGGUUGGAAUCUGCUAAUUGCUGUGCUCACGUCGAGCUGGUGGGAGAGCCCAGCGUGAGCACCGCAGGAGGAACUUGGCUGCAUAAAGACCGUUCAUUCAGUGCCAGUGUCUAAUGGCACCGAAGUAAAUAGCCGAGCAUUGUUCCGGCAGUGUCAGAGCAGAGCGGGGCCAGCCUUCCUCUGAUGAAUUCCUCCUAAAUAGCGCCCGAGGGGGACGGGAGGGGACGGAAGAGGAGGGGGAGUGCCAGAGGGGAGAGCCAGGAAGACAGAGGAUAAGCAGUGUGUAGAAGAGGACGAAACUGCGAGCAGCUUCACGGCUACCUGUCAACACAUGCUGUGCUCCAUGGCUAACUCGGGCUGCCUCCUUGUCUCCAACUCAGGCAUGCUUCCUCACUCUCUCCCCUGUCCUCCAGCCUUCCUCUACCUCCAACAGGUAAGUGACCCUCUUCUGGGGAUUUUUUUGCUUUGCGGCUCACACGUGCUUUCUCUCAGCGAAGGGUCAGAGUUUAACC
RNAcentral lists this long non-coding RNA (531 nucleotides) under Gallus gallus (chicken). RNAcentral's name for it is "long non-coding RNA NONGGAT003337". The record is from RNAcentral. Lineage: Eukaryota; Metazoa; Chordata; Aves; Galliformes; Phasianidae.